This is a long non-coding RNA of Scylla paramamosain (green mud crab), 480 nucleotides long. RefSeq lists it as uncharacterized. NCBI's taxonomy places the organism in Eukaryota, Metazoa, Arthropoda, Malacostraca, Decapoda, Portunidae. The record is from RefSeq and is a predicted model, not a curated record. The transcript has 4 exons.
CAGACGCCCAGCGCGCCUCCCUCCCACGCGCCGAGACAACACGGGCUCCCUCUUCUACCUCUGGCGGCGGCUCUCUAGCGAUUGAGUCGCCACCAGCAACAGCAGCAGCACACGUCAGGGAUGAAUGCAGCGACGUGGUGCCGGUGGGAUUUGAGGAUAGAAAAUGCUUGAGUAUCCUCGCACGGCCAGACGAAGCAAUGAUAUGUAUGGUGAGUGAGCGGUGAGUACAAGUAUAUAAAAUUGCUAACCACGGAGUGCUUGACCAGUGCGAGGCAUGACGGAAGGAUGAAGGCCACUGUGUGAUGGAUCUGACUUCCAUAAUAGUUCGUUUCAUUCGCUUAGCCUCCACGAAUCAGUGAUGAUUGAACGCAGUGGAAAAAAAAUCAUGACUACUUGUGUAAUUAUGAAAGUCGGUGCAUCAUGGCCUUCCCUGCCUUUCAGUGAUGCUUUGUGGAAAGAAACUUAACCAAAUUUAUAACU